This 506-nucleotide unclassified non-coding RNA is filed under the name uncultured Glomus. RNAcentral describes it as "SSU rRNA". It matches the Rfam family "Eukaryotic small subunit ribosomal RNA", at positions 569 to 1078 of the family's 1831-position model. The record is from RNAcentral. Lineage: Eukaryota; Fungi; Glomeromycota; Glomeromycetes; Glomerales; Glomeraceae.
AGCAGCCGCGGUAAUUCCAGCUCCAAUAGCGUAUAUUAAAGUUGUUGCAGUUAAAAAGCUCGUAGUUGAAUUUCGGGAUCAAUAUGUUGGUCGUGCCUCGGUACGUACUAGCUUAUUGGUUUCUCCUUUCUGAAGAACCAUGAUGUCAUUUAUUUGGUGUCGUGGGGAAUCAGGACUGUUACUUUGAAAAAAUUAGAGUGUUUAAAGCAGGCUCACGCUUGAAUACAUUAGCAUGGAAUAAUGAAAUAGGACGUUUGAUUCUAUUUUGUUGGUUUCUAGGAUCGACGUAAUGAUUAAUAGGGAUAGUUGGGGGCAUUAGUAUUCAAUUGUCAGAGGUGAAAUUCUUGGAUUUAUUGAAGACUAACUACUGCGAAAGCACUUGCCAAGGAUGUUUUCAUUUAUCAGGAACGAAAGUUAGGGGAUCGAAGACGAUCAGAUACCGUCGUAGUCUUAACCAUAAACUAUGCCGACUAGGGAUCGGAUGAUGUUAAUUUUUUAAUGACUCA